Molecule: long non-coding RNA, 602 nt
Filed under: Ananas comosus (pineapple)
Lineage: Eukaryota; Viridiplantae; Streptophyta; Magnoliopsida; Poales; Bromeliaceae
Description: long non-coding RNA (ACOM_LNC006578)
Source: RNAcentral
UACCUAUCAUUUAUUUUGAUUUAAGUUAUUUUAGCUUAUCCAACUGAUAAAUUUAAUGAAGAAAAAACUUUAAAUGCCACCUUUGUGAUUUCAUACUUUUUUUUUAUUUUGAUGCCUUAUGAUUUAAAAUAUAUCACUUUAGUAUUUUAUGAUUUUAUCUUUCUCUUUGCAUUAUCUGUUAUAUUAAUUUUUUCGAUAAAUCAGUAAUAAAAGUAAAACUACAGAAUAUUAAAAUAAAAUUUUGGUAAACUACAUGGUAUUUAAGUGAAUAUUCGAUUAAUCAUAGGUUGGGUAGCUAAAAUUUUUUAUAUAUAAUUUUAUAAAGAGUUAACGAAAGUAUUGACGAAAAGAGAAAAAUAAAAUCACAGAAUAGUAAAAUGAUAUAGUACUUUAAACUGUAGAGUACUAAAGAAUCCUCAGUAAUUUUCUCAAAUUUUUUCGCUCUAAUAAUUUUUGAGCCAAAUAAAGUGUGAAUUUAUUUACUAAAAUUAGGUUUUAUUUAACUUAGGAUCUAUUUAUUACGUAAAAAUAUGCAACAAAUUUGCAAAAAAAAUAUAUUUUUUAAUUACAGUGCUCAUUGCCCGGAAUAUAUUUUGCCCAGC